Molecule: long non-coding RNA, 1057 nt
Filed under: Vombatus ursinus (common wombat)
Lineage: Eukaryota; Metazoa; Chordata; Mammalia; Diprotodontia; Vombatidae
Description: lncRNA (ENSVURG00010015638.1)
Source: RNAcentral
AGUGACUGGGCGUCUGGGCAGUCUUCCCCAGUGACAAAGAAUUGAGUUCAGUCAUAAAGGAUCUGAUAUGCAGAGAGCACUCCCACUGAAUCUGCAGGACACAUCAUCAUUGCUCAUAUCCUGUCUUAGAUGGUUUCUUUUUCUGGGUUGGCCAGACUCUCGACCAUGGACAACCCUUAUGGAGUGCGGGUUCAGGCUCAAGGGAGAUGGACACAUGCCCCUUGGUUCCCAUGAUGGAGAUGCAGCUGGGGAUGAUAGGGCUGAGCAUGUGCUUGGUCCGUUUCUAGGAGCACAAAUUCUGAACUAUAGAUGCCCAAGGCAUCUGGUCCGUACCUGGGUGCCAAUGCAGCCUUCACCAUCUCACUGCACAACUGUCCAAAAUGACUGACAGCUGAGUAGGGAGAGCUGCUCCCUCAGCAGGCUAAUAAGGAGAAGUGGGUCCAGUACAUCUCUCUCCUUUCUGGUCUGUUGAGUGUGUAAGGACUCAGGAAGCUCUUCCCUUGGACUUCCAGCAAGUGGGAGGGGCAGUAUCUUCUCCCCCUCCCCCCAGCUAGGAAGAUGAGCACAUGACAGCAAUGAAUAUAUGCUCACACAGGUGAACCUGGGACUGGACCUCAAGGCAAAGACUGCCUCACCUAUUUGUGUUUUAUUUUCCUGAGCAUAGGUGAUUGAGCAGCGGUCCUGAGAGAUGGACCUUUCAAGCCUGGAGCUCUGGUUUUUCAGUCAGUGCCAGCUGCCCCUGUUGGGAGGUGCUCCCUUCAGCCAGUUGAGAUUUGUAACCAUGAAACAUUGCCAAGAGGACAAGAGAUGAGUCUUUGUGCUGAGGGGUGGCUUGGGAUCUUUAAAGGCACAGAACAGUUUCCCGAAUGCAAUUCAAUCCACCAUCUUCUUCCUGUUAAAUUCUGGGCCUCAUUCAGUGUCCAUCAGCAGUGUCUGCCCCAAGUACAGGUAUUAAUGUACUAACCCAAUGAACCAGGCCCUCCAAUUAAAUGCUGCAGCCUGAACAAUAGGCAUAUUUAUUGAUUUCAUUUUUUUCUGUGUGGAUUACUAAAUUGAC